UGCGACAAUGAAUGUGUGGCAGC
RNAcentral lists this non-coding RNA (23 nucleotides) under Arabidopsis thaliana (thale cress). The record is from RNAcentral. Lineage: Eukaryota; Viridiplantae; Streptophyta; Magnoliopsida; Brassicales; Brassicaceae.